UUACAUAGAAAGGAUUUGAACCUAUUCCUUAAAUAUCAAAAACUUACGUGCACAUACACCACCAUGUA
RNAcentral lists this transfer RNA (68 nucleotides) under Uroteuthis chinensis. Its description in RNAcentral is "tRNA-Gln". Lineage: Eukaryota; Metazoa; Mollusca; Cephalopoda; Myopsida; Loliginidae. The record is from RNAcentral.